Molecule: small RNA, 1083 nt
Filed under: Pan troglodytes (chimpanzee)
Lineage: Eukaryota; Metazoa; Chordata; Mammalia; Primates; Hominidae
Description: retained intron
Source: RNAcentral
GUGUCUCCUCCCCCUGGGGUGAGUCCAGCAGCAGCCUCCUCUUUCCUGACUGUCACAUUUCUUUUCCAGCUCUGACCGGGAGUCAGCUCCUCGGGGAUACCAUCCCCCGACCUCACCUUCCACCUGCCGCAGCCUGCUAGCCUUUCCGGGAGAAAAGGCAUCCUUACCUCUGGUUGAAGGUCUCGGGGCCUCCCCCUCUGCAUCCGGACCCUCUCCCCAUCCCAGCCUCCCAUGCCAAGGCCCGCCUUGUCAGUCACUUCCUUUUGUCAUCGGCUUGGCAAACGGGAGAGAAAACAGAGCUUCAUGGGAAACAGCGGCAACAGUUGGUCCCAUACACCUUUCCCCAAGUUGGAGCUGGGCCUGGGGCCCCAGCCCAUGGCGCCCCGGGAGCUCCCUACCUGCUCCAUCUGCCUGGAGAGGUUGCGCGACCCCAUCUCACUGGACUGUGGCCACGACUUCUGCAUACGGUGCUUCAGCACACACCGUCUCCCGGGCUGUGAGCCGCCCUGCUGUCCUGAGUGCCGGAAGAUAUGCAAGCAGAAGAGGGGCCUCCGGAGCCUGGGCGAGAAGAUGAAGCUCCUGCCGCAGCGGCCGCUGCCCCCUGCACUGCAGGAGACGUGUCCUGUGAGGGCGGAGCCGCUGCUGCUGGUUCGCGUCAAUGCCUCUGGGGGCCUCAUCCUUAGGAUGGGGGCCAUCAACCGCUGCCUGAAGCACCCUCUGGCCAGGGACACCCCAGUCUGCCUCCUCGCUGUCCUGGGGGAGCAGCACUCAGGGAAGUCCUUCCUCCUCAACCAUUUGCUUCAGGGCUUGCCGGGCCUGGUGAGGGCGGGGCGGGGCAGGAGGGAGGCGGGGAGCAAGGAUGGGGGUUCCUGCCUGGGGGAAGCUGGGUCUGGUAUUCCGGUCUGUGGGGACAAGGAACCGACCAACUGAUGCUCUCCCUUCUCUCCCCUGCAGGAGUCUGGUGAGGGCGGCCGGCCAAGAGGAGGAGAGGCAUCCCUGCAGGGCUGCAGAUGGGGCGCCAAUGGCCUCGCCAGGGGCAUAUGGAUGUGGAGCCACCCCUUCUUGCUGGGGAAAGAAGGGAAG